GACGAACGCUGGCGGCGUGCUUAACACAUGCAAGUCGAGCGGAAAGGCCCUGCUUUUGUGGGGUGCUCGAGUGGCGAACGGGUGAGUAACACGUGAGUAACCUGCCCUUGACUUUGGGAUAACUUCAGGAAACUGGGGCUAAUACCGGAUAGGAGCUCCUGCUGCAUGGUGGGGGUUGGAAAGUUUCGGCGGUUGGGGAUGUACUCGCGGCUUAUCAGCUUGUUGGUGGGGUAGUGGCUUACCAAGGCUUUGACGGGUAGCCGGCCUGAGAGGGUGACCGGCCACAUGGGGACUGAGAUACGGCCCAGACUCCUACGGGAGGCAGCAGGGGGGAAUAUUGCACAAUGGGCGGAAGCCUGAUGCAGCAACGCCGCGUGCGGGAUGACGGCCUUCGGGUUGUAAACCGCUUUCGCCUGUGACGAAGCGUGAGUGACGGUAAUGGGUAAAGAAGCACCGGCUAACUACGUG
RNAcentral lists this ribosomal RNA (468 nucleotides) under uncultured bacterium. RNAcentral's name for it is "partial 16S ribosomal RNA". It matches the Rfam family "Bacterial small subunit ribosomal RNA", at positions 28 to 507 of the family's 1533-position model. The record is from RNAcentral.